RNAcentral lists this ribosomal RNA (659 nucleotides) under Salmonella enterica subsp. enterica. RNAcentral describes it as "partial 23S ribosomal RNA". It matches the Rfam family "Bacterial large subunit ribosomal RNA", at positions 1100 to 1677 of the family's 2925-position model. The record is from RNAcentral. RNAcentral also lists the same sequence under 3 other names. Lineage: Bacteria; Pseudomonadati; Pseudomonadota; Gammaproteobacteria; Enterobacterales; Enterobacteriaceae.
GUUGGCUUAGAAGCAGCCAUCAUUUAAAGAAAGCGUAAUAGCUCACUGGUCGAGUCGGCCUGCGCGGAAGAUGUAACGGGGCUAAACCAUGCACCGAAGCUGCGGCAGCGAACGUAUCACUUAAAGCGAUUCAGCGGGUUACGAUUGACGGAGCGAAGCGACGUCAAAGCGUAUACAAAGUCGAGUCGGUUUAAGGAUACGUUCGUUGGGUAGGGGAGCGUUCUGUAAGCCUGUGAAGGUGGCCUGUGAGGGUUGCUGGAGGUAUCAGAAGUGCGAAUGCUGACAUAAGUAACGAUAAAGCGGGUGAAAAGCCCGCUCGCCGGAAGACCAAGGGUUCCUGUCCAACGUUAAUCGGGGCAGGGUGAGUCGACCCCUAAGGCGAGGCCGAAAGGCGUAGUCGAUGGGAAACGGGUUAAUAUUCCCGUACUUGGUGUUACUGCGAAGGGGGGACGGAGAAGGCUAUGUUGGCCGGGCGACGGUUGUCCCGGUUUAAGCGUGUAGGUGUGUGUUCCAGGUAAAUCCGGUUCACUUUAACACUGAGGCGUGAUGACGAGGCACUACGGUGCUGAAGCAACAAAUGCCCUGCUUCCAGGAAAAGCCUCUAAGCAUCAGGUAACAUCAAAUCGUACCCCAAACCGACACAGGUGGUCAGGUAGAGA